This 752-nucleotide ribosomal RNA is filed under the name uncultured Photobacterium sp. RNAcentral's name for it is "bacterial SSU rRNA". It matches the Rfam family "Bacterial small subunit ribosomal RNA", at positions 56 to 788 of the family's 1533-position model. Lineage: Bacteria; Pseudomonadati; Pseudomonadota; Gammaproteobacteria; Vibrionales; Vibrionaceae. The record is from RNAcentral.
UGCAGUCGAGCGGCAGCGACUUAACUGAACCUUCGGGGAACGUUAAGGGCGGCGAGCGGCGGACGGGUGAGUAAUGCCUGGGAAUAUACCCUGAUGUGGGGGAUAACUAUUGGAAACGAUAGCUAAUACCGCAUAAUCUCUUCGGAGCAAAGAGGGGGACCUUCGGGCCUCUCGCGUCAGGAUUAGCCCAGGUGGGAUUAGCUUGUUGGUGAGGUAAUGGCUCACCAAGGCGACGAUCCCUAGCUGGUCUGAGAGGAUGAUCAGCCACACUGGAACUGAGACACGGUCCAGACUCCUACGGGAGGCAGCAGUGGGGAAUAUUGCACAAUGGGGGAAACCCUGAUGCAGCCAUGCCGCGUGUGUGAAGAAGGCCUUCGGGUUGUAAAGCACUUUCAGUAGGGAGGAAGGUAGUGUAGUUAACACCUGCAUUAUUUGACGUUACCUACAGAAGAAGCACCGGCUAACUCCGUGCCAGCAGCCGCGGUAAUACGGAGGGUGCGAGCGUUAAUCGGAAUUACUGGGCGUAAAGCGCAUGCAGGCGGCCUGUUAAGUCAGAUGUGAAAGCCCGGGGCUUAACCUCGGAAUUGCAUUUGAAACUGGCAGGCUAGAGUCUUGUAGAGGGGGGUAGAAUUUCAGGUGUAGCGGUGAAAUGCGUAGAGAUCUGAAGGAAUACCAGUGGCGAAAGCGGCCCCCUGGACAAAGACUGACGCUCAGACGCGAAAGCGUGGGGAGCAAACAGGAUUAGAUACCCU